Molecule: non-coding RNA, 1012 nt
Organism: Pelobates cultripes (western spadefoot toad)
Lineage: Eukaryota; Metazoa; Chordata; Amphibia; Anura; Pelobatidae
Source: the annotation of a GenBank genome assembly
GUCUCCAGCCACACGGUUCAGCCACACCAACGGGUUGUGAUCUGUGAGCAAAGAAAAGGGUUGCCCAUAGAGAUACGGUUGUAACUUUUGCAGGGCCCACACCACGGCCAGGCAUUCAUUUUCGAUGGUGGCGUAGCUCACUUCUCGGGGUAACAAUUUCCGGCUCAAAUAUGCUACGGGAUGUUCUCCACCAUCUGCUCCGACCUGGCUCAGUACUGCUCCCAAUCCAAACAUUGAGGCGUCUGUGUGGACAAGAAAACGUUUAGUUGGAUCAGGAGCAGCAAGUACAGGAGCAUUGGUCAGAGCCGUCUUCAGUUGGUUAAAUGCCUGUUCACACUCUGGGGCCCAGAUGACCUGUCUGGGCAGGUUUUUCUUCGUCAAGUCAGUCAGGGGCUUGGCCAGGGCACUGUAAUUGGGCACAAACUUCCUAUAAUACCCGGCGGUACCUAAGAAGGCAAGGACUUGGGUUUUAGUCCUAGGGGUGGGCCACUUGGCUACGGCUUCAAUCUUUGCGGGCUCAGGCUUCUGUUGCCCGCUCCCCACUCGGUGUCCUAAGUAUUGCACCUCCGCCAUCCCUAUGUGGCACUUGCUUGGUUUUAAGGUAAGCCCUGCCUCUCCAAUCCGAUCUAUCACGGCCCCUAUGUGUUGUAGAUGAUCAGCCCAGGUCUGGCUGUAGAUGGCAAUAUCGUCCAGGUAUGAUCCAGUAGCCGAUCCACCAUCCGAUGGAAUGUCGCGGGGGCGUUCUUCAUCCCGAAUGGCAUGACUCGAAAUUGGUACAAGCCAAACGGGGUGACAAACGCCGACUUGGGGAUGGCAUCCUCGGCUAGUGGAAUUUGCCAGUAUCCCUUACAGAGAUCUAUUGUAGUGAGAUACUGACCUCUGGCCAUCUUAUCUAGCAGUUCGUCUAUCCGGGGCAUCAGGUAAGCGUCCGACACGGUUUUGUUGUUCAGCCUCCGGUAGUCCACACAAAAUCGGGUGGUACUGUCUUUCUUGGGAACCAGGACUACCGGCG